GACAGAGGGUGCAAGCGUUGUUCGGAUUUACUGGGCGUAAAGCGCGUGUAGGCGGCUUGGCAAGUCGGAUGUGAAAGCCCACGGCUCAACCGUGGAACCGCAUCCGAAACUGCUUCGCUCGAGUCUCGGAGAGGAAGGUGGAAUGCUUGGUGUAGAGGUGAAAUUCGUAGAUAUCAAGCAGAACACCUGCGGCGAAGGCGGCCUUCUGGACGAUGACUGACGCUGAGACGCGAAAGCGUGGGGAGCAAACAGG
RNAcentral lists this ribosomal RNA (253 nucleotides) under uncultured bacterium. Its description in RNAcentral is "partial 16S ribosomal RNA". It matches the Rfam family "Bacterial small subunit ribosomal RNA", at positions 524 to 776 of the family's 1533-position model. The record is from RNAcentral.